Molecule: ribosomal RNA, 150 nt
Filed under: uncultured archaeon
Lineage: Archaea
Description: partial 16S ribosomal RNA
Rfam family: Archaeal small subunit ribosomal RNA
Source: RNAcentral
CCUACGGGGCGCAGCAGGCGCGAAACCUCCGCAAUGCACGAAAGUGUGACGGGGUCACCCCGAGUGCCAUCCGCUGAGGGUGGCUUUUGUUCGGUGUAAUGAGCCGAAUGAAUAAGGGGAGGGCAAGUCUGGUGUCAGCCGCCGCGGUAA